RNAcentral lists this ribosomal RNA (465 nucleotides) under uncultured bacterium. RNAcentral's name for it is "partial 16S ribosomal RNA". It matches the Rfam family "Bacterial small subunit ribosomal RNA", at positions 28 to 507 of the family's 1533-position model. The record is from RNAcentral.
GACGAACGCUGGCGGCGUGCUUAACACAUGCAAGUCGAACGGAAAGGCCCUGCUUGCAGGGUACUCGAGUGGCGAACGGGUAAUUAACACGUGGUUGAUCUGCCCUGCACUUCGGGAUAAGCCUGGGAAACUGGGUCUAAUACCGGAUAGGAGCCAUUCUUAGUUUGAUUUUUGUAAAGUUUUUUCGGUGUAGGAUGAGCUCGCGGCCUAUCAGCUUGUUGGUGGGGUAAUGGCCUACCAAGGCGGCGACGGGUAGCCGGCCUGAGAGGGUGGACGGCCACAUUGGGACUGAGAGAAGGCCCAGACUCCGACGGGAGGCAGCAGUGGGGAAUAUUGCACAAUGGGCGCAAGCCUGAUGCAGCGACGCCGCGUGGGGGAUGACGGCCUUCGGGUUGUAAACUGCGUUCGCUAGCGACGAAGCUUUUUGUGACGGUACAUAGAUAAGAAGCACCGGCUAACUACGUG